CGCGGGACGGGAUUCCCGUCCCGCGGGACGGGAUUACUGUCCCACGGGACGGGAAUCCCGUCCCGCG
Molecule: microRNA precursor, 67 nt
Filed under: Paramuricea clavata
Lineage: Eukaryota; Metazoa; Cnidaria; Anthozoa; Malacalcyonacea; Plexauridae
Source: RNAcentral